AGCAGGCCUCCUUCCCUUGUUAAAGGUGGCACUUUGUGGAUACCCAUGGAUCUUGAAGCACUUAUCAAUUAAGUGUCCAGAUUUUUUACAGUGUCUACAAAAUAAAGGUCCCCUGGCUUGGUCAAAAUUGACUCUCUGUUGGUCAAGAUUGACUCUCUGUCUAAAAGGAGGAGGAGGAACAAACACUGUGGUCUUAUUAAAUCCAACAGGCUGCCUGUUUGUAUGUACAUUGAAAGAGACAGAGGCUGGAUCAAAGUGAGAGGAAGACUGAACUUGUCUUUGCUUCUCAUCAUUGAN
RNAcentral lists this long non-coding RNA (297 nucleotides) under Nicotiana benthamiana. Its description in RNAcentral is "long non-coding RNA (NBEN_LNC005540)". The record is from RNAcentral. Lineage: Eukaryota; Viridiplantae; Streptophyta; Magnoliopsida; Solanales; Solanaceae.